Molecule: ribosomal RNA, 253 nt
Filed under: uncultured bacterium
Lineage: Bacteria
Description: partial 16S ribosomal RNA
Rfam family: Bacterial small subunit ribosomal RNA
Source: RNAcentral
UACAGAGGGUGCGAGCGUUAAUCGGAAUUACUGGGCGUAAAGCGUGCGUAGACGGUUAUUUAAGUCGGAUGUGAAAGCCCUGGGCUCAACCUAGGAAGUGCACUCGAAACUGCAGAGCUUGAGUCUCGGAGAGGGUCGCGGAAUUCUCGGUGUAGAGGUGAAAUUCGUAGAUAUCGAGAGGAACACCGGUGGCGAAGGCGGCGACCUGGACGAUGACUGACGCUGAGACGCGAAAGCGUGGGGAGCAAACAGG